UAGUACGGCGAGUGAGAGGGAAGAGCCCAAGAUUGAAAGCUGGCGUCUUCGGCGUCCGCAUUGUAAUCUCAAGAAGUGUUUUCCGCUUCGGACCAUGUCUAAGUCCCUUGGAAAAGGGCAUCAUAGAGGGUGAUAAUCCCGUACAUGGCAUGGAGCGCCCGUAGCUUUGUGAUACGCUUUCUAAGAGUCGAGUUGUUUGGGAAUGCAGCUCAAAAUGGGUGGUAAAUGCCAUCUAAGGCUAAAUAUUGGGGAGAGACCGAUAGCGAACAAGUACAGUGAUGGAAAGAUGAAAAGAACUUUGAAAAGAGAGUUAAACAGUACGUGAAAUUGCCAAAAGGGAAGGGUAGGAGGUCAGAGAUGCGGCCUGGGAUUCAGCCUUGCUUUUGCUUGGUGUUUUUCCCAGAUUGCAGGCCAACGUCGGUUUUGGGCACUGGAGAAGGGUAGGAGGAACGUGGCACCUCUCGGGGUGUGUUAUAGCCUCCUACUGGAUACAGCGACCGAGACCGAGGACAGCAGCGUACUCGCAAGAGCGGGCCUUCGGGCACCUUUACGCUUAGGGCGUUGGCAUAAUGGCCCUCUACCACCCGUCUUGA
This 593-nucleotide ribosomal RNA is filed under the name uncultured Pseudozyma. RNAcentral's name for it is "eukaryotic LSU rRNA". It matches the Rfam family "Eukaryotic large subunit ribosomal RNA", at positions 81 to 657 of the family's 3401-position model. The record is from RNAcentral. Lineage: Eukaryota; Fungi; Basidiomycota; Ustilaginomycetes; Ustilaginales; Ustilaginaceae.